AGGUAAAAUGCUUUUAAGACAACUUACUACUGACAACAUAGAUUGGAACACUCCGUUACCUAUUGAGAAACAACAAAGAUGGGAGAAAUGGAAAGGUUCUCUGAAGCCACCAGAACAGCUCCAAAUUCCACAUUGCUAUGCCCCAGUCUCCAUUUCAGCCGCUAACCAGAGGGAAAUCCAUAUUUUCUCAGACACAUCAGUUGAAGCUAUAGCUGCAGUGGCCUAUUUGAAGACCUCAGGGGUUAGGGGGUCAUACAUUGCAAUUUUGUUCUAGGCAAGGCAAAGCUUACACCUAAACCUGCGCAUACCAUACCC
Pelobates cultripes (western spadefoot toad) is the source of this 315-nucleotide non-coding RNA. The record is from the annotation of a GenBank genome assembly. NCBI's taxonomy places the organism in Eukaryota, Metazoa, Chordata, Amphibia, Anura, Pelobatidae.